Molecule: long non-coding RNA, 389 nt
Filed under: Cavia porcellus (domestic guinea pig)
Lineage: Eukaryota; Metazoa; Chordata; Mammalia; Rodentia; Caviidae
Description: lncRNA (ENSCPOG00000040668.1)
Source: RNAcentral
CCGGAUGAUGGUGGCAGCGGCUCCCUGUUAGCAGGCAUUUGCUGCCUCACAGGAGGUGGUGGGCACUGUGCCCGUCCGUGUCGGUCUCCCGGGCGCUCGGCCACCGCUCCACCCCCUUUUCUACGACAUGGAGCCAGAGCCGGCGGCACCGAAGAAUCCCCGGCCGCGGAGACGAAGCCGCCGGGCCUCUGGGCUCAGCGCGGACUGCGCCGCCAGUCCUUCGGGUGACACCCCCAGGCCAGGACCGCCGGAUGUCAGAUACUCCCUUCGGAGGGGUAGCUCCUUUACUUUUUUAACACCUGGCCCCCACUGGGACUUCACCUUGAAAAGAAAACGAAGAGAGAAAGAUGAUGAUGUUGUGAGCCUUAACAGCCUUGAUCUGAAGGUAA